GACGAACGCUGGCGGCGUGCCUAAUACAUGCAAGUCGAGCGGACUGAUUAAGAGCUUGCUCUUAUGACGUUAGCGGCGGACGGGUGAGUAACACGUGGGCAACCUGCCCUGUAGAUCGGGAUAACACCGAGAAAUCGGUGCUAAUACCGGGUAAUAUCUGAGAUCACAUGAUCUUAGGUUAAAAGAUGGCUCCGGCUAUCACUACAGGAUGGGCCCGCGGCGCAUUAGCUAGUUGGUAAGGUAAUGGCUUACCAAGGCGACGAUGCGUAGCCGACCUGAGAGGGUGAUCGGACACACUGGGACUGAGACACGGCCCAGACUCCUACGGGAGGCAGCAGUAGGGAAUCUUCCGCAAUGGACGAAAGUCUGACGGAGCAACGCCGCGCGAGUGAUGAAGGGGUUCGGCUCGUAAAGCUCUGUUGUUAGGGAAGAAACAGUACCGAACGAACUAGGUCGGUACCUUGACGGUACCUAACCAGAAAGCCACGGCUAACUACGUG
RNAcentral lists this ribosomal RNA (500 nucleotides) under uncultured bacterium. Its description in RNAcentral is "partial 16S ribosomal RNA". It matches the Rfam family "Bacterial small subunit ribosomal RNA", at positions 28 to 507 of the family's 1533-position model. The record is from RNAcentral.